UACGUAGGGGGCGAGCGUUGUCCGGAAUGAUUGGGCGUAAAGGGCGCGUAGGCGGCUAUGCAAGUCUGGAGUGAAAGUCCUAUUUUCAAGGUAGGAAUUGCUUUGGAAACUGUGUAGCUUGAGUGCAGGAGAGGUUAUCGGAAUUCCCGGUGUAGCGGUGAAAUGCGUAGAGAUCGGGAGGAACACCAGUGGCGAAGGCGGGUAACUGGACUGCAACUGACGCUGAGGCGCGAAAGUGUGGGGAGCAAACAGG
Molecule: ribosomal RNA, 253 nt
Filed under: uncultured bacterium
Lineage: Bacteria
Description: partial 16S ribosomal RNA
Rfam family: Bacterial small subunit ribosomal RNA
Source: RNAcentral